Molecule: ribosomal RNA, 698 nt
Filed under: uncultured Bacteroidales bacterium
Lineage: Bacteria; Pseudomonadati; Bacteroidota; Bacteroidia; Bacteroidales
Description: bacterial SSU rRNA
Rfam family: Bacterial small subunit ribosomal RNA
Source: RNAcentral
CUAAGGCUGAUGGCGACCGGCGCACGGGUGAGUAACACGUAUCCAACCUGCCGUCUACUCUUGGCCAGCCUUCUGAAAGGAAGAUUAAUCCAGGAUGGCAUCAUGAGUUCACAUGUCCGCAUGAUUAAAGGUAUUUUCCGGUAGACGAUGGGGAUGCGUUCCAUUAGAUAGUAGGCGGGGUAACGGCCCACCUAGUCAACGAUGGAUAGGGGUUCUGAGAGGAAGGUCCCCCACAUUGGAACUGAGACACGGUCCAAACUCCUACGGGAGGCAGCAGUGAGGAAUAUUGGUCAAUGGGCGAUGGCCUGAACCAGCCAAGUAGCGUGAAGGAUGACUGCCCUAUGGGUUGUAAACUUCUUUUAUAAAGGAAUAAAGUCGGGUAUGCAUACCCGUUUGCAUGUACUUUAUGAAUAAGGAUCGGCUAACUCCGUGCCAGCAGCCGCGGUAAUACGGAGGAUCCGAGCGUUAUCUGGAUUUAUUGGGUUUAAAGGGAGCGUAGAUGGAUGUUUAAGUCAGUUGUGAAAGUUUGCGGCUCAACCGUAAAAUUGCAGUUGAUACUGGAUGUCUUGAGUGCAGUUGAGGCAGGCGGAAUUCGUGGUGUAGCGGUGAAAUGCUUAGAUAUCACGAAGAAUUCCGAUUGCGAAGGCAGCCUGCUAAGCUGCAACUGACAUUGAGGCUCGAAAGUGUGGGUAUCAAAC